This 238-nucleotide unclassified non-coding RNA is filed under the name Glomus sp. RNAcentral's name for it is "partial contains 5.8S ribosomal RNA and internal transcribed spacer 2". The stretch from base 1 to 65 matches the Rfam family "5.8S ribosomal RNA", at positions 84 to 154 of the family's 154-position model. The record is from RNAcentral. Lineage: Eukaryota; Fungi; Glomeromycota; Glomeromycetes; Glomerales; Glomeraceae.
GUGAAUCAUCGAAUUUUUGAACGCAAAUUGCACUCUCUUCGGAGAGUAUGCCUGUAUGAGGGUCAGCCUAAAAAAAAUCGACAUAGUCGCUGUUUCUCGGUGACAUUCUUCGGAAAUUGCGUCAUCUUAAACCUUUGGGUUUUUAGCGGCUUAAAAUUUUCUUUUCGAUUUCACGAACGUAUCUAAGAUUUAAUUCUUUCACGUUUACGUUAAUUGUUUUUUAUUAGACGAUGCAUUG